This 468-nucleotide ribosomal RNA is filed under the name uncultured bacterium. RNAcentral's name for it is "partial 16S ribosomal RNA". The stretch from base 64 to 468 matches the Rfam family "Bacterial small subunit ribosomal RNA", at positions 39 to 507 of the family's 1533-position model. The record is from RNAcentral.
GGGGGGGGGGGGGGGGGGGGGGGGGGGGUGGGGGGGGAGGGGAGGGGCGGUGGGGGGGGGGGGGGGGCGAGUGGCGGGGGGGUGAGUAGGCAGUGCGUGACCUGCGCUUGGCCUUGGGGCAGCGUCGGGCUACUGUGGCUAGUUCCGGAUCGGAGAUCCUGAUGCCGGGUGGGGGAUGGACGCUUUCGGCGUUUGACGAUGGAGUCGCGGCUUGUCAUCUUGUUGGUGAGUGAGUGGCGUACCAAGGCGUUGACUGGUAGCCGGCCUGAGAGGGUGACCCGCCACAUUGGGACUGAGAUACGGCCCAUACGCCAACGGAAGGCAGAAGUGGGGAAUAUUGCACAAUGGGCGGAAGCCUGAUGCAGCAACGCCGCGUGAGGGAUGACGGCCUUCGGGUUGUAAACCGCUUUCGCCUGUGACGAAGCGUGAGUGACGGUAAUGGGUAAAGAAGCACCGGCUAACUACGUG